This 72-nucleotide transfer RNA is filed under the name Spizellomyces punctatus DAOM BR117. It matches the Rfam family "tRNA". Rfam says of the family: Transfer RNA (tRNA) molecules are approximately 80 nucleotides in length. Their secondary structure includes four short double-helical elements and three loops (D, anti-codon, and T loops). The record is from Rfam by way of RNAcentral. Lineage: Eukaryota; Fungi; Chytridiomycota; Chytridiomycetes; Spizellomycetales; Spizellomycetaceae.
GGUUCCAUGGUGUAGCGGUCAGCACUCAGGACUCUGAAUCCUGCGACCCGAGUUCGAUUCUCGGUGGGACCU